UACGUAGGCGGUCUGAUAAGUCAGGUGUAAAAGGCAAUGGCUCAACCAUUGUAAGCACUUGAAACUGUCGGACUUGAGUACAGGAGAGGUAAGUGGAAUUCCUAGUGUAGCGGUGAAAUGCGUAGAUAUUAGGAGGAACACCAGUGGCGAAGGCGACUUACUGGACUGUAACUGACGCUGAGGUACGAAAACGUGGGGAGCGAACA
RNAcentral lists this ribosomal RNA (206 nucleotides) under uncultured bacterium. Its description in RNAcentral is "partial 16S ribosomal RNA". It matches the Rfam family "Bacterial small subunit ribosomal RNA", at positions 568 to 774 of the family's 1533-position model. The record is from RNAcentral.